GUAGUCAUAUGCUUGUCUCAAAGAUUAAGCCAUGCAUGUCUAAGUAUAAGCAAUUAUACGGCGAAACUGCGAAUGGCCCAUUAUAUAAGUUAUCGUUUAUUUGAUAGCACCUUACUACUUGGAUAACCGUGGUAAUUCUAGAGCUAAUACAUGCUAAAAAUCCCGACUUCGGAAGGGAUGUAUUUAUUAGAUUAAAAACCAAUGCCCUCUGGGCUCUCUGGUGAUUCAUGAUAACUUCUCGAAUCGCAUGGCCUUGCGCCGGCGAUGGUUCAUUCAAAUCUCUUCCCUAUCAACUUUCGAUGUUUGGGUAGUGGCCAAACAUGGUUGCAACGGGUAACGGAGGGUUAGGGCUCGACCCCGGAGAAGGAGCCUGAGAAACGGCUACUACAUCCAAGGAAGGCAGCAGGCGCGCAAAUUACCCAAUCCCGACACGGGGAGGUAGUGACAAUAAAUACUGAUACAGGGCUCUUUUGGGUCUUGUAAUUGGAAUGAGUACAAUUUAAAUCCCUUAACGAGGAACAAUUGGAGGGCAAGUCUGGUGCCAGCAGCCGCGGUAAUUCCAGCUCCAAUAGCGUAUAUUAAAGUUGUUGUGGUUAAAAAGCUCGUAGUUGAACCUUGGGCCUGGCUGGCCGGUCCGCCUCACCGCGUGCACUGGUCCGGCCGGGCCUUUCCCUCUGUGGAACCCCAUGCCCUUCACUGGGUGUGGCGGGGAAACAGGACUUUUACUUUGAAAAAAUUAGAGUGCUCCAGGCAGGCCUAUGCUCGAAUACAUUAGCAUGGAAUAAUGAAAUAGGACGUGCGGUUCUAUUUUGUUGGUUUCUAGGACCGCCGUAAUGAUUAAUAGGGACAGUCGGGGGCAUCAGUAUUCAAUUGUCAGAGGUGAAAUUCUUGGAUUUAUUGAAGACUAACUACUGCGAAAGCAUUUGCCAAGGAUGUUUUCAUUAAUCAAGAACGAAAGUUAGGGGAUCGAAGACGAUCAGAUACCGUCGUAGUCUUAACCAUAAACUAUGCCGACUAGGGAUCGGACGAUGUUAUUUUUUGACUCGUUCGGCACCUUACGAGAAAUCAAAGUGCUUGGGCUCCAGGGGGAGUAUGGUCGCAAGGCUGAAACUUAAAGGAAUUGACGGAAGA
RNAcentral lists this ribosomal RNA (1131 nucleotides) under uncultured fungus. RNAcentral describes it as "SSU rRNA". It matches the Rfam family "Eukaryotic small subunit ribosomal RNA", at positions 20 to 1163 of the family's 1831-position model. The record is from RNAcentral. Lineage: Eukaryota; Fungi.